GGAGUUCUGUAGCUCACUGAGAGAGUAUCUGCUUAGCAUGCAGAAGGUCCCAGGUUCAGUCCCCAGCAUCUCCA
Podarcis lilfordi (Lilford's wall lizard) is the source of this 74-nucleotide non-coding RNA. NCBI's taxonomy places the organism in Eukaryota, Metazoa, Chordata, Lepidosauria, Squamata, Lacertidae. The record is from the annotation of a GenBank genome assembly.